UAUACAGGUGUUGCAUGGCUGUCGUCAGCUCGUGUCGUGAGAUGUUCGGUUAAGUCCGCUAACGAGCGCAACCCUCGUCGUAUGUUAUAUGUGUCAUACGAGACUGCCGGUAAAAAGCCGGAGGAAGGUGAGGAUGAUGUCAAGUCGGCAUGACCUUUAUAUCCAGGGCUACACACACGCUACAAUGGUCUGUACAAUGGGUAGCCAAGCCGCGAGGCGGAGCCAAUCCUGAAAGCAGGCCUCAGUUCAGAUUGCAGUCUGCAACUCGACUGCAUGAAGCCGGAGUUGCUAGUAACCGCAGGUCAGCAAUACUGCGGUGAAUACGUUCCCGGGUCUU
Molecule: ribosomal RNA, 337 nt
Filed under: uncultured Anaerolineaceae bacterium
Lineage: Bacteria; Bacillati; Chloroflexota; Anaerolineae; Anaerolineales; Anaerolineaceae
Description: bacterial SSU rRNA
Rfam family: Bacterial small subunit ribosomal RNA
Source: RNAcentral